RNAcentral lists this ribosomal RNA (550 nucleotides) under uncultured bacterium. RNAcentral describes it as "bacterial SSU rRNA". It matches the Rfam family "Bacterial small subunit ribosomal RNA", at positions 355 to 896 of the family's 1533-position model. The record is from RNAcentral.
UAGGGAAUCUUCGGCAAUGGACGGAAGUCUGACCGAGCAACGCCGCGUGAGUGGAGAAGGUUUUCGGAUCGUAAAGCUCUGUUGUAAGAGAAGAACGAGUGUGAGAGUGGAAAGUUCACACUGUGACGGUAUCUUACCAGAAAGGGACGGCUAACUACGUGCCAGCAGCCGCGGUAAUACGUAGGUCCCGAGCGUUGUCCGGAUUUAUUGGGCGUAAAGCGAGCGCAGGCGGUUAGAUAAGUCUGAAGUUAAAGGCUGUGGCUUAACCAUAGUACGCUUUGGAAACUGUUUAACUUGAGUGCAAGAGGGGAGAGUGGAAUUCCAUGUGUAGCGGUGAAAUGCGUAGAUAUAUGGAGGAACACCGGUGGCGAAAGCGGCUCUCUGGCUUGUAACUGACGCUGAGGCUCGAAAGCGUGGGGAGCAAACAGGAUUAGAUACCCUGGUAGUCCACGCCGUAAACGAUGAGUGCUAGGUGUUAGACCCUUUCCGGGGUUUAGUGCCGUAGCUAACGCAUUAAGCACUCCGCCUGGGGAGUACGACCGCAAGGUUG